Equus caballus (horse) is the source of this 1569-nucleotide long non-coding RNA. The record is from Ensembl. Lineage: Eukaryota; Metazoa; Chordata; Mammalia; Perissodactyla; Equidae.
GGUUUGGGACAAGCGUAAUCGACUCUUGAUAAGCAUACAGUUUCCCUGACUGAAACAGCUGUGAGCCUCGGUGGGCCAAGGGCAUUGGUCAGCAGGUUUUACAGAGGACAAGAGAGCAUCGGCUGGCACAGCAGCGGGGUAGGUAGAGGUCAGUAAGGAGUGUGGAAUGCCAGUAAAUGUUUAACAACUGGCUCUGGGUGGGGGGCUGGUUUGUGGUGUUUGCAGAUUUCUGUGGUGUCCAUACUCUCAAGGUGACAUCACUGAACGCGAAGCUGGGAAGAGAUGUGUACAGUCAGCUCUCGUGCCUGACAAAAGGCAGCUCCAGCACACCCUGGCGAAGAGCAUACUUUGGCCACGAGAGAUCUCUCCAAGGGGACAUGAAGCAAGCAAAGAGGAUCUCGAGAAUUUUCAGGAGACAUUAUUGGAAAUGCAGAAGGAGGCUGAUAGAAUCUUCCCUCAAUGCAACCCCUCCAGAUUAAUUCUCCUCACUCCAGACUUGGUGGGUAACCAGAACCACGCUAUGAGACAGUGUAGUCCCUGUCCUGUCGUGGCCACAGGCUCCAUCGAAGAUUCAAAGGUAGGAGCAGAGCCUCAGGUUUGGGAGUCAAUAAAGGAGUCAUCAGAGAUCUGAAAGACUUCAGCAAUGGCCACAGUAAAGACCCAAGGAGGGCUCAGGGUGGCUGCAAAACAGACCUGCCAAUGACAGAUGCACCUUGGAGGCUGUGGGGGUUGUGGCCAGUGGUGGGACAAGUGAGCACACUGGGUGUGUGUCUGCAUUUGAUCAAGGCUCCGGGAUGAAGCCCAGGCUCUUUGCCAUGGUAUUCAAGGCUUUUCCCCAUCUGGCCUCACCCGCCCUUUUGGUCUCAUCUGCCACCACAAUACGUCCCACAAACCCUGAAUCUGAGCACCACACAUCCAUGCUUCCACCCCUCUGGGCCUUUCACAUGCUGCUUGCUCUGCUGGGAAUCUACUUCUCCACUCGAACAAAUGCUACUCAUCGUCAGAGCUCCUGCUCCCACGUUGCCUCCUCCGUGAAGCCCUCACCGAUCCUUCCCUCCGCACGCCUCGUGAGAUGAACCGCUGCCUUCUUAGCGUCUUCCUCAUUUUUAUGCAUAAUAUGGUACCCUUUUAUGAACGUAUUAUAUUUGUAGGAAACUUUUCUGAGUCCCCAAAAGAUGCCUCACCCCGAGAAUCAAAUGUAAAUCAACCAGACACAGUCCAUGCCCUCAAAUACAUUAUGGGGAAUAGAGACAAGUAAGCCACUGGCUUUAAUGCGACAGCAUCCUCUGAGGACAGCGGAGAAGCGCUUAUCCUGACAUGAGGAGUCAGAGUACACCUCCUGGAAGAAGUGGGGUUCUGACAGCUGCAAGAUGAGCAGGGGCCAGGAGAGGAGAGCAGAGAGAGGAAUGCAAUGUCUUUAACAAAUGUUUGUAUGGCUCUUUACUGAUUUCAGCGAAUCACUGCAGACACUCCGUGGUAGAUAUUAUUAUGUUCAUGCUUGUCUCACAUGUGAGGAAAUUUAGGCCCAAUAAGAUUAAAUAACCUGCCCAAGAUCACAUCAUUGUAAAA